This 270-nucleotide ribosomal RNA is filed under the name uncultured archaeon. RNAcentral describes it as "partial 16S ribosomal RNA". It matches the Rfam family "Archaeal small subunit ribosomal RNA", at positions 477 to 747 of the family's 1478-position model. The record is from RNAcentral.
CAGCACCUCAAGUGGUCAGAAUGAUUAUUGGGCCUAAAGCAUCCGUAGCCGGCUCUGUAAGUUUUCGGUUAAAUCUGUACGCUUAACGUACAGGCUGCCGGGAAUACUGCAGAGCUAGGGAGUGGGAGAGGUAGACGGUACUCGGUAGGAAGGGGUAAAAUCCUUUGAUCUAUUGAUGACCACCUGUGGCGAAGGCGGUCUACCAGAACACGUCCGACGGUGAGGGAUGAAAGCUGGGGGAGCAAACCGGAUUAGAGACCCGAGUAGUCC